RNAcentral lists this ribosomal RNA (497 nucleotides) under uncultured bacterium. RNAcentral's name for it is "partial 16S ribosomal RNA". It matches the Rfam family "Bacterial small subunit ribosomal RNA", at positions 28 to 507 of the family's 1533-position model. The record is from RNAcentral.
GAUGAACGCUGGCGGCGUGCCUAAUACAUGCAAGUCGAGCGAACAGAUGAGGAGCUUGCUCCUCUGACGUUAGCGGCGGACGGGUGAGUAACACGUGGAUAACCUACCUAUAAGACUGGGAUAACUUCGGGAAACCGGAGCUAAUACCGGAUAAUAUAUUGAACCGCAUGGUUCAAUAGUGAAAGACGGUUUUGCUGUCACUUAUAGAUGGAUCCGUGCCGCAUUAGCUAGUUGGUAAGGUAACGGCCUACCAAGGCGACGAUGCGUAGCCGAUCUGAGCGGACGACCAGCCACACUGGGACUGAGCCACGGCCCAGACUCCUACGGGAGGCAGCAGUGGGGAAUUUUGGACAAUGGGCGCAAUCCUGAUCCAGCAAUGCCGCGUGCGGGAAGAAGGCCUUCGGGUUGUAAACCGCUUUUGUACGGAACGAAAAGGCUCUGGCUAAUACCUGGGGCUGAUGACGGUACCGUAAGAAUAAGCACCGGCUAACUACGUG